RNAcentral lists this unclassified non-coding RNA (498 nucleotides) under uncultured Glomus. RNAcentral describes it as "SSU rRNA". It matches the Rfam family "Eukaryotic small subunit ribosomal RNA", at positions 569 to 1073 of the family's 1831-position model. Lineage: Eukaryota; Fungi; Glomeromycota; Glomeromycetes; Glomerales; Glomeraceae. The record is from RNAcentral.
AGCAGCCGCGGUAAUUCCAGCUCCAAUAGCGUAUAUUAAAGUUGUUGCAGUUAAAAAGCUCGUAGUUGAAUUUCGGGAUCAAUAUGUUGGUCGUGCCUCGGUACGUACUAGCUUAUUGGUUUCUCCUUUCUGAAGAACCAUGAUGUCAUUUAUUUGGUGUCGUGGGGAAUCAGGACUGUUACUUUGAAAAAAUUAGAGUGUUUAAAGCAGGCUCACGCUUGAAUACAUUAGCAUGGAAUAAUGAAAUAGGACGUUUGAUUCUAUUUUGUUGGUUUCUAGGAUCGACGUAAUGAUUAAUAGGGAUAGUUGGGGGCAUUAGUAUUCAAUUGUCAGAGGUGAAAUUCUUGGAUUAUUGAAGACUAACUACUGCGAAAGCAUUUGCCAAGGAUGUUUUUCAUUAAUCAAGAACGAAAGUUAGGGGAUCGAAGACGAUCAGAUACCGUCGUAGUCUUAACCAUAAACUAUGCCGACUAGGGAUCGGAUGAUGUUAAUUUUUUU